UACGUAGGGGGCAAGCGUUGUCCGGAUUUAUUGGGCGUAAAGAGCGUGUAGGCGGUUAUGCAGGUCCGCUGUGAAAACUGGAGGCUUAACCUCCAGACGUCGGUGGAAACCGUAUGACUAGAGUCCGGAAGAGGAGAGUGGAAUUCCUGGUGUAGCGGUGAAAUGCGCAGAUAUCAGGAAGAACACCCGUGGCGAAGGCGGCUCUCUGGGACGGUACUGACGCUGAGACGCGAAAAGCGUGGGGAGCGAACAGG
RNAcentral lists this ribosomal RNA (254 nucleotides) under uncultured bacterium. RNAcentral describes it as "partial 16S ribosomal RNA". It matches the Rfam family "Bacterial small subunit ribosomal RNA", at positions 524 to 776 of the family's 1533-position model. The record is from RNAcentral.